UUGAAUUCCACCUUUGGUAGUCAUAUGAGCAACAAUCUCAGAUAUAUCUAUGUGAAGCAGAUCAGCAAUCUCUUGGGAAGAAGGAACCCUCUCCAAACCACUGAACGACAAUUGAUCCAAGAUAGGUAUACCCACAAGAUAGGCAUACUCCUCAAGGGUAGGCAAAAGUUGGAAAUCCGAAAAAGUGAAGCAAUGGUACAGAGGAUCAUA
This 210-nucleotide long non-coding RNA is filed under the name Lathyrus oleraceus (garden pea). Its description in RNAcentral is "Pisum sativum (pea) long non-coding RNA (PSAT_LNC017854)". The record is from RNAcentral. Lineage: Eukaryota; Viridiplantae; Streptophyta; Magnoliopsida; Fabales; Fabaceae.